This 257-nucleotide ribosomal RNA is filed under the name uncultured bacterium. RNAcentral describes it as "partial 16S ribosomal RNA". It matches the Rfam family "Bacterial small subunit ribosomal RNA", at positions 524 to 776 of the family's 1533-position model. The record is from RNAcentral.
UACGUAGGGCGCAAGCGUUAUCCGGAAUUAUUGGGCGUAAAGAGCUCGUAGGCGGUUUGUCGCGUCUGCCGUGAAAGUCCGGGGGCUCAACUCCGGAUCUGCGGUGGGUACGGGCAGACUAGAGUGAUGUAGGGGGAGACUGGAAUUCCUGGUGUAGCGGUGAAAUGCGCAGAUAUCAGGAGGAACACCGAUGGCGAAGACAGGUCUCUGGGCAUUAACUGACGCUGAGGAGCGAAAAGCAUGGGGGAGCGAACAGG